Molecule: transfer RNA, 86 nt
Filed under: Crepidotus variabilis
Lineage: Eukaryota; Fungi; Basidiomycota; Agaricomycetes; Agaricales; Crepidotaceae
Rfam family: tRNA
About the family: Transfer RNA (tRNA) molecules are approximately 80 nucleotides in length. Their secondary structure includes four short double-helical elements and three loops (D, anti-codon, and T loops). Further hydrogen bonds mediate the characteristic L-shaped molecular structure. tRNAs have two regions of fundamental functional importance: the anti-codon, which is responsible for specific mRNA codon recognition, and the 3' end, to which the tRNAs corresponding amino acid is attached (by aminoacyl-tRNA synthetases). tRNAs cope with the degeneracy of the genetic code in two manners: having more than one tRNA (with a specific anti-codon) for a particular amino acid; and 'wobble' base-pairing, i.e. permitting non-standard base-pairing at the 3rd anti-codon position.
Source: Rfam by way of RNAcentral
GCAUUAAUGGGGUAGUGGUAACCUGGGUCGUUGCCAUUCGAGCUAGAAAGCUCGACCCGCCGGGGGUUCGAUUCCCUCUUAAUGCA